GCCGAUGUGGCGGAAUUGGUAGACGCGGCGGAUUCAAAAUCCGCUCUUAGCAAUAAGGUGCCGGUUCGAGUCCGGCCAUCGGUA
This 84-nucleotide transfer RNA is filed under the name Waddliaceae bacterium. RNAcentral describes it as "tRNA-Leu". It matches the Rfam family "tRNA". Rfam says of the family: Transfer RNA (tRNA) molecules are approximately 80 nucleotides in length. Their secondary structure includes four short double-helical elements and three loops (D, anti-codon, and T loops). Further hydrogen bonds mediate the characteristic L-shaped molecular structure. tRNAs have two regions of fundamental functional importance: the anti-codon, which is responsible for specific mRNA codon recognition, and the 3' end, to which the tRNAs corresponding amino acid is attached (by aminoacyl-tRNA synthetases). tRNAs cope with the degeneracy of the genetic code in two manners: having more than one tRNA (with a specific anti-codon) for a particular amino acid; and 'wobble' base-pairing, i.e. permitting non-standard base-pairing at the 3rd anti-codon position. Lineage: Bacteria; Pseudomonadati; Chlamydiota; Chlamydiia; Parachlamydiales; Waddliaceae. The record is from RNAcentral.